GUCUAGAUGAGAGUCAAAGUACAUUUUAUUUGCAAUUUUUUUAUUUUUUGGUGGGGGAGGGUAGUGGUGUAAAAUUUUUUAUUUGCAGUUGACAGAUGAUACGGUGGCCAUUAAAAGGAAGAAAUAAAAAAUUGAGGUACUGGAGGUGCACCUGUUUUGAAUUGAACAUCAUUCAAAUAAAAGCAAGAUGUAUGCAGUAAGAAACCUCAAUAUGCUUUAACAAUAGUGGAAAAAUGAUAGAAAAUAUAUAAUUGUGGUAGUUGAGAUGCAUUCCUGCUUAAGUAAAUUUUGAAACUGAAGACAAUUUGAAGAUAAGGAAGGUGUAUGCACUGGAUGACUUAAAUCCACAAUCUAAGUGGUUAAGGUGAUUCUUUUCUAUGUGCAUCCCUGUUUAUCUCCCCUUCCUGUCUCAACGACACUAAAAGAUAAAAGCUUGCAGUGGAGCUUUUUUUGUGAUGUUGUGGAUGAGAAGAAGCUUGAUCUUGUAAGAACUCAGUGUUCUACAAGAGAUUAGAUUGGUACCACUUAAUGAGAUGAAUUGAGUCUCUUGUCUUGAGGAAGUGGCUGUGGUGCUUCAAGCGACGGAAGAAACCACUUUUGGAGAAAGCUGUUGGGAAAAUAUAUGACUCCACGUAAGCAGAGAGGGAAUCCUUAAAGCAGCCUGAUGGGGACAUCCAUGUAUACCAGCAGCGUAGGUGCAAGACCCAGCCACAUGUGCAUUCUAUUUGGCUGGAGGAAAACUAGAAGAAAGAAGAAAGAAGGAAAGAGAGGGAGUCGAACCAGCCUUCCCAGUGCUGGGUUUGACCCCCCUUUUCUCCCAAUCGGCAAAUCCUUGUGGACCCCACCAGAUUCUGUUUUUUUUUUUUUUUUGGUAAUUUACUUUAGUUCAUAGUAUUAUUUAACUGUUUUGAAUAUUUAGGAAACUAGUUAUUUCUUUCUAUUGGUCUAUUAGGUAAUUUCUAAUUUCAGUGAUUGAGUUCCUAAAUAACUCUAUUUUUUUGUGGUAAUUUUAUUCUUUAUAUGUGUAAGGCCAUUGGCCAUCUUUUUUCUGGUUAAUGAAUGAAAAUUUUUGAAUUAAGAAAGGCCAUCGUCUCUCUCUCUCUCACGAUUCUCACUCUUGCUCUCUCUUUCUUGACUUUCUCCCUCCCUUUCUCGACCCUCUCGUUUUCUUGACUUACAUCUCUCUCUCUCUCUCUCUCUUUGUUGCUGCUGCCCUGUUGCAACCAUUGUUCACAGUAAUUGGAGAUCACCUCCAUUGAAUUGACCCCACCUGGGUUGCUGCUGAGUUCCUCUUCAACAAGCUGGGCUGCUGCUGAGCACUACAUCAUCAAACUGGACCUUCUCCCUCGUCAAAUAAGGUGGAUUGCACCUUUGUUUUGGAGGACUUCGGCUUCUCCUUUUCUCCUCAGAUCGGGACAGCAAAAAGCUACCCUGUUGCAACCAUUGUUUACAGUAAUUGGAGAUCACCUCCAUCGAAUAGACCCCCUUGGGUUCCUGCUGAGCACUACAUCAUCAAACUGGACCUUCUCCCUCAUCAAAUAAGGUGGACUGCACCUCUGUUUUGGAGGACUUCGGCUUCUCCUUUUCUCCUCAGAUUGGGACAGCAAGAAGGUAAAUACCCCCUGUUCCAUAUCCAUCGACUGCCUAUUAUCCCCAUUAUCUCCCCCACUGGCCACUGAAACCUGAAAUUAUUCUCUGUUUUUCAAGCCAUCUAUUUUCUGUUAUCCUAAAAAAAAAAUCCCUACUGUUUUACCUUAUUAGUUGGCUGAUUUUAGAGAACUGCGUGGGUUGCUUAUUAUGCUUAGUGUCUUGAUUGAUUUGUGCUAAACCUAACACAUAGUUGUUGCCAUGUUCCCUUCCCCAUAUCUCCAUUUGAUGCUGGGGUAGUUUAAGUGUUUUUCAUGCUUAGAUUAUUAUUGACCGUUGUUGCCCUAUUAAUUAGCCUAUUAUCUUGCAUGUUAAAUCUGUACUUUACUGAGCAACUUUGAACCCAACCCAAUUCGAGACCUAUUGAGUAUUCCUUAUUCUAGUGGAUUGACCCCUUGUAGGAAACCUAGUUGUCUAGGUACCCUCCCUACAUCACAGCCUCUAACUACAGGACUCUUGUUUGAAAGGGAACCUUUCAACGGGGUGUUGGUGCUAGCAAUUUCAAGGUAAUGCUUUGCAUGUUGGAAGACUGGUGCUAUGGCCCUUGUUAUUUUCAAAGAGACUUCCAUAACCUCAUAUUAUCUGGAAACCAUUUGGGGAAGGAAUUUACAAGCAUGAUGGCUGUCAAUGUAGCCUGGGACAUUCAGCUAAAAUUUAAUAAUUGGGAACUUAACUACUGUUGGAACAAGGAACAGAGGCCACAUUUGGAACAGAGAGUGAGGAUGUUGCCUUUUUAUGACAUGAUUUUUCUAUUGGGAAGAUAAAGUUGUUUCCAUAGGCAGGUUUGUCUCAGAUAUUCAAAUUCCCUGGAUUAAUGGACCUGCAUGCUUGGUAAUAAUUAACUAACAACCUUUUUAUCAUUUAGUUGUCCAGAAGAAAGUGACUACUCGAAGAGAUUUUAGUGAUAAAUUCUUGGCCAGCUAAAAGGGUUCAUGAAGGAAGGCAGUAUUAUUUGGAACUCAUCUCUAUUAUCAUUUGUUGGUAGCAAGGAAUCUAGUGAAGUUGGGAAUGGAUUCAAACAAAGAUGCUGGACCACCUACUCUUUUUGCUGUCCACAGUGAGGGGAGUUAAAAGGUUUUGCUUGAACCAAGCUUUUCUAUUUCUUUUUCCUAUUCUUUUUGGGGUAUUCGAACCAUGCUUGUGUUCACAGUUUUCUACUAUCAUUUUUCUUUAAGAUUCUUAUACAUUGUUUGGGAUUCAUUAAUUCUUUACGUGAUUCAGUUUUCGGUAACUUUGUAUAGUUUAUUUUGGCUUCUUGUCAUUCAAAAAAAAAAAAAAAAAAAAAAAAUUCUGGUGGGGGUGGGGGCUGAGCACAGAACGGUUGGGGUAGGAAGUGAAAAUGUUCAGAUAUUUAUAAUCAACAACUGGCACUUGAUUAUGGGAGAAGGAUCAUCGUGCCUAAUUACAAUUAACAAUGUAUGCAUUUAAGGUGAUAUAUAUUAUAUCUCAUUUCAAGCUUAUGAGCAACACCCAAAAAUUUAGAUUGAUUGAGCACAAACUAGGACAUGAAUCUGGUGAAUCGCAUCAGUUUUUUUCUUUUCUUUUCCUUUUUUAUUUUUCCUUCUUUUGGGGAGGGGGGUCAGCACUGAUAUAAUCUCUUGGGCAAUCACUUAAGUGGGUCAAUGUAUUUAUUCCCCUGAAUGUGCUUUUCAAUUGAUUCAUGCUUCACAUUUCUCUGGUAUACUGUUGAUUAAGUAGGUCAGUGUUUUUUACUCUAUAUAUGUUUUACGUAGUUUAUAAAGAUAAUAGUAAUACUUUCAUGCCUUGCAUUUACUGAUCUAAAAGUAAAAAUUUUUAAGCAUAAAUGAGAAGAUUAAAAGAAAUUUCUGUUUUUCCUUAUACUGUAGGAAUGAUUACCCAGAAAAUUUUGAAAGUGGGUAGUAAAGGAGUACCUUGACUUCUGAAGUCGGAUUCAGCAGUUGAUGAUGCUCCUCUUUUGCUUUGUUGUAUCGUUCAAUUAUUGAUUUCAUGCUGGUAGCAGUAGAGGUAGACAGUCAGCUUUUUUUGCUUCUUACCCAUUUGGUUAACAUUUCAGUGGAGUGGAUUAGCAAGAUUAUGCCAUGACAAGGAGAAAAUAAGUUACAAAAAAUGCAUAUUAAAUUAACCAACGGCUUAGUCUCCCUCCCCUCCUGACUGACCUAUGUAUUGAUCCCAAUCACCCCAUACUAGUUCCAGCUGGAAAUUGACAGUUGUAAAGUUGCCAUUUUUGUGAACUUCUGAACUUUAACUGACAACUUACUGGAUUUGACCACAAGCAUAUCUCAUCACAAAAUGUCACCAUCACCUGUUUAGUGAUGUUCAUCGCAGGUUUACUGAUGCUGUAAAGUUGAGUUGGGUCAUGCCAUUACCUAGAUAUGGUAUUUGAUUGCUAGAUAAAGAAUUAAGUGUUCUUGUUGAACUCCUAAAAAUAUGAAGGCAAUGAGACAGCAGUGACCUUUCUACUGAAGUGAAAUUGAAUUUCAGUGGUUUUGGGGUGCAAGUUCUUAUCUCUGUCUGAUUACUUUGGGGACCUGUUGACAUGGUAUUCUACAGUCACUCUCUUGUAUGCUUGUGUCUUUGUAUCUAUAUGUUUUGGAUGAUCUUCUCUCAUCCAUAUUACAUUCUUUGGUUGUUCCGUGAGGCUAUACUUGAUUUUAACAUCCACUUAGGUUGGCACUUGAUCAUCUAGUUUUUUUGGCAUUGAUAUCCAAGGUCAAUUCAGAAAAUUAUUAUGUAGUAUCAGUCAAGGAGAACUCUCCGAUACAUAUUAUAAGUUGCAAGAAAGUCAUUUGAGGUGGCAUGGACAUUUACAAUGGAGUCCUCUCAAGUGCUUUAAUAUGGUGGGGUAGGCCUAAGAUGACUCUAGGUGAAGUGAGAAAAGACAGGCGUAGCUUAGGACUUGUAAUAGGUAUGUCUUUGAAUAGAACUGAUUAGAGAAAAAUGAUCCAUAUAGUGGACCCCAUUUAGUUGGGCCAAGGCUGAGGAAGAGCAAUUACAUUUCUGACACUGCAUGUUCAUAUGUGGUACAACAUCUUGUGCACUGCUGGAGGUUGGGUGUGGCACUUAAACCCUAUUGAGGUCGUUUGUUUAGGUCAAUUUUAUGGUUGUUCAUUCUUUAUUUAAUACUGGGAAAAAAAUUUGCAAAGAAAAUUUGACAAAAUAGGUUAGGGAUAUGGUGGUUAUUGCCUAUAACUCCUAUGCUUCCCACUGGACAUGUAGCAGGCUUAUUUGCAUAAUUGACUUAGAAAACAAGAUGAGCUUCAAGAUGGUGAUAACAACAACAGCAAUGACUAGAAAAGAAAGAAUUCUAAUAUGUUAGCUCAGACUUGAUUCAAGUAACGGAAUUGCAGCGCAAUAUUGUUGGAAAACUUUUCAUCCAAGGAGUGUUGUAGUGCAAAUUUAUGUUAAAAGGAUGAGGACAAAGAUGAUUGGAUUGGUGAAAAUCAGUAGAUAUGGUAUAAUUUCAACAAUUGGAAUGGUGGAACUUGAUUUAUGUGUAAACCCAAUUGGUAUAGAUUGAGAUUUGUGAGUUGAUUGUUUCUGGUAAAGGCUUUUCAAGCAAAACUCAUCGUUUUUUAAGUCACCAUUAUACCAUUAUGAAUUCCAAGCAACCAUUUGUACUUAAAAGUAUAUUGCUAUAUCAUUCUUUGAGUAUUUCACCAUGUGUCUGUCCCCGAUAUCCCCUUAUAAUAAAACCUUGAGUUUAACCUCCUAACUAGUAACUAGCACACUACCAUAAUGGACACUGGUAAACAAAAGUGAGCUAACUUGAUAAUGUCCAAAUUUAAUUGAAAAAGGUAAUAAACACCAAUAGAAUGAAGACCAAAUGUAUCAGAGUUCUAGUCAUGAAAAUAUCAAAUCAGAAUCACUAGCAGAAAUGAUAAAUUUUGCUAGAACAGGCAAAGAACAUUGUAUAUUCUCCAGUAUUCAGCAAAGUUCACGAUAUAGAGCACUCUAAGAAAAGUUGAAACAGGAGGAAGAUCAUGAAGCCGUAAGUAUAUAUUAUACAAGACUCAGAACAAAGUAGGUAUUUUCCACAAGUAAAUACAAGAUUAAUAGGUUUCAGCAAUAGUGUAAGGGCAUGGUUUUACAUGACAUAUUUGUAACAGUGUUGAUGCAUUUUCCAGGUAUUGAGCUGAACUACUAAGGGGCAGCUUAUCUACUGGCAAAGCAAUUGAACUAGGGAAUUCAAUUACAUAAUUCUAUGCUCUUUUAUUCAUAUUAUCCAUUUUCUUUAGAAUUAGUAAAAAAAUUAUUUUCUGGACUGCCAUGAAACAGAAAUAGAACCCAAUUUGGUGGGCAAUCACAAUGUGAAGUCAUAUGAUGGCUGUAACAAAUUUCUGCUUUCGAUAAAUGCCUAUUAUGCAUUGUUUGAAGAA
Long non-coding RNA from Macadamia integrifolia, 6005 nucleotides. RefSeq lists it as uncharacterized. Lineage: Eukaryota; Viridiplantae; Streptophyta; Magnoliopsida; Proteales; Proteaceae. The record is from RefSeq and is a predicted model, not a curated record. The transcript has 2 exons.